GGGUCACUCAGGGUCUCUCAGGGGUCACUCAGAGGUCACUCAGGGUCACUCAGGUGUCACUCAGGGGUCACUCAGGGUCACUCGGGGUCACUCAGGGGUCACUCAGGGUCACUCAGGGGUCACUCCGGGGUCAGUCAGGUGUCACUCAGGGGUCACUCAGGGGUCACUCAGGGGUCACUCAGGGGUCACUCAGUGUCACUCAGGGUCACUCGGGGGUCACUCAGGGGUCACUCAGGGGUCACUCAGGGUCACUCUGGGGUCACUCUGGGUCACUCAGGGGUCACUCAGGGUCACUCAGGGGUCACUCAGGGGUCACUCAGGGUCACUCAGGGUCACUCAGGGGUCACUCAGGGGUCACUCAGGGGUCACUCAGGGGUCACUCGGCCACCUGCACGCCCCCGCAGUUCUCUUUGCUCUCCGAGGUGAUCGCCAGGUACUCCGAGCUGG
This is a long non-coding RNA of Oenanthe melanoleuca, 447 nucleotides long. RefSeq lists it as uncharacterized. The record is from RefSeq and is a predicted model, not a curated record. The transcript is spliced from 4 exons. Lineage: Eukaryota; Metazoa; Chordata; Aves; Passeriformes; Muscicapidae.